RNAcentral lists this long non-coding RNA (221 nucleotides) under Eucalyptus grandis. RNAcentral describes it as "long non-coding RNA (EGRA_LNC001370)". Lineage: Eukaryota; Viridiplantae; Streptophyta; Magnoliopsida; Myrtales; Myrtaceae. The record is from RNAcentral.
UUGGCCUCAGAUUCCACCUGCAAGUCAGUACAAUUCGCAUACCUUAUGUAUAGAAUCGAUACAUCCAUCAAUUGAAACACAUCACUCAACUCAAUAAAUCACAAGGGUCCAGAUUAUAGGGCCAAAUCGUUAUGACACGUCCCAUACCAUGUCACACAAUUUUGUCUCAUAAUCCAGCGCAUCAAACUCAACCAUCAUGCGUUCCAAUUGUUAAUUACACC